AGCGAACGCUGGCGGCAGGCUUAACACAUGCAAGUCGAGCGGGCAUCUUCGGAUGUUAGCGGCAGACGGGUGAGUAACACGUGGGAACGUACCUUUCGGUUCGGAACAACUCUGGGAAACUGGAGCUAAUACCGGAUACGCCCUUAUGGGGAAAGGUUUACUGCCGAAGGAUCGGCCCGCGUCUGAUUAGCUAGUUGGUGGGGUAACGGCCUACCAAGGCGACGAUCAGUAGCUGGUCUGAGAGGAUGAUCAGCCACACUGGGACUGGGACACGGCCCAGACUCCUGCGGGAGGCAGCAGUGGGGAAUAUUGGACAAUGGGCGCAAGCCUGAUCCAGCCAUGCCGCGUGAGUGAUGAAGGCCUUAGGGUUGUAAAGCUCUUUUGUCCGUGACGAUAAUGACGGUACCGGAAGAAUAAGCCCCGGCUAACUUCGUG
RNAcentral lists this ribosomal RNA (435 nucleotides) under uncultured bacterium. Its description in RNAcentral is "partial 16S ribosomal RNA". It matches the Rfam family "Bacterial small subunit ribosomal RNA", at positions 29 to 507 of the family's 1533-position model. The record is from RNAcentral.